RNAcentral lists this non-coding RNA (23 nucleotides) under Cricetulus griseus (Chinese hamster). The record is from RNAcentral. Lineage: Eukaryota; Metazoa; Chordata; Mammalia; Rodentia; Cricetidae.
AGUGUAGAGGAUAGCAAAGGAUC